Molecule: transfer RNA, 77 nt
Filed under: Pseudomonadota bacterium
Lineage: Bacteria; Pseudomonadati; Pseudomonadota
Also listed under: 1 other name
Description: tRNA-His
Rfam family: tRNA
About the family: Transfer RNA (tRNA) molecules are approximately 80 nucleotides in length.
Source: RNAcentral
GCGGCUAUAGCUCAGUUGGUUAGAGCGCAAGAUUGUGGCUCUUGAGGUCGUCGGUUCGAGUCCGACUAGCCGCCCCA